GUCCACGCCGUAAACGCUGUCUACUAGCUGUUUGGUGUUUGAUUACGCUGAGUAGCGAAGCUAACGCGCUAAGUAGACCGCCUGGGGAGUACGGCCGCAAGGUUAAAACUCAAAUGAAUUGACGGGGGCCCGCACAAGCGGUGGAGCAUGUGGUUUAAUUCGAUGCAACGCGAAGAACCUUACCUACACUUGACAUGCACAGAAGUUCUCAGAGAUGGGAAUGUGCCUUCGGGAACUGUGACACAGGUGCUGCAUGGCU
RNAcentral lists this ribosomal RNA (259 nucleotides) under uncultured bacterium. RNAcentral's name for it is "partial 16S ribosomal RNA". It matches the Rfam family "Bacterial small subunit ribosomal RNA", at positions 793 to 1050 of the family's 1533-position model. The record is from RNAcentral.